AUUGAACGCUGGCGGCAUGCCUUACACAUGCAAGUCGAACGGCAGCGGGCCUUCGGGUGCCGGCGAGUGGCGAACGGGUGAGUAAUGCAUCGGAACGUGCCAUUGAGUGGGGGGAUAACGUAGCGAAAGUUACGCUAAUACCGCAUAUUCUGUGAGCAGGAAAGCAGGGGACCGCAAGGCCUUGCGCUCUUUGAGCGGCCGAUGUCAGAUUAGCUAGUUGGUGAGGUAAAGGCUUACCAAGGCGACGAUCUGUAGCGGGUCUGAGAGGAUGAUCCGCCACACUGGAACUGAGACACGGUCCAGACUCCUACGGGAGGCAGCAGUGGGGAAUUUUGGACAAUGGGCGCAAGCCUGAUCCAGCCAUGCCGCGUGAGUGAA
RNAcentral lists this ribosomal RNA (378 nucleotides) under uncultured bacterium. RNAcentral describes it as "bacterial SSU rRNA". It matches the Rfam family "Bacterial small subunit ribosomal RNA", at positions 30 to 409 of the family's 1533-position model. The record is from RNAcentral.